Molecule: microRNA precursor, 73 nt
Filed under: Myotis lucifugus (little brown bat)
Lineage: Eukaryota; Metazoa; Chordata; Mammalia; Chiroptera; Vespertilionidae
Description: mir-9193 microRNA precursor family
Rfam family: mir-9193 microRNA precursor family
Source: Rfam by way of RNAcentral
GGUGGUUGGGGGGGGCCCUCAGCCCAGAUUGUGAGAGGGUGCAGGCCAGGCCAAGAGACCCCACCAGUGCAGG